UACGUAGGUGGCGAGCGUUAUCCGGAAUUAUUGGGCGUAAAGCGCGCGCAGGCGGUUUCUUAAGUCCGAUGUGAAAGCCCACGGCUCAACCGUGGAGGGUCAUUGGAAACUGGGAGACUUGAGUGCAGAAGAGAAGAGUGGAAUUCCACGUGUAGCGGUGAAAUGCGUAGAGAUGUGGAGGAACACCAGUGGCGAAGGCGACUCUUUGGUCUGUAACUGACGCUGAGGCGCGAAAGCGUGGGGAGCAAACAGG
Molecule: ribosomal RNA, 253 nt
Filed under: uncultured bacterium
Lineage: Bacteria
Description: partial 16S ribosomal RNA
Rfam family: Bacterial small subunit ribosomal RNA
Source: RNAcentral